Molecule: ribosomal RNA, 494 nt
Filed under: uncultured bacterium
Lineage: Bacteria
Description: partial 16S ribosomal RNA
Rfam family: Bacterial small subunit ribosomal RNA
Source: RNAcentral
GACGAACGCUGGCGGCGUGCUUAACACAUGCAAGUCGAACGGAAAGGCCCUUUCGGGGGUACUCGAGUGGCGAACGGGUGAGUAACACGUGGGUGAUCUGCCCUGCACUUUGGGAUAAGCCUGGGAAACUGGGUCUAAUACCGAAUAGGACCGCAUGCUUCAUGGUGUGUGGUGGAAAGCUUUUGCGGUGUGGGAUGGGCCCGCGGCCUAUCAGCUUGUUGGUGGGGUAAUGGCCUACCAAGGCGACGACGGGUAGCCGGCCUGAGAGGGUGUCCGGCCACACUGGGACUGAGAUACGGCCCAGACUCGUACGGGGGGCAGCAGGGGGGAAUAUUGCACAAUGGGCGCAAGCCUGAUGCAGCGACGCCGCGUGGGGGAUGACGGCCUUCGGGUUGUAAACCUCUUUCAGUAUCGGCGAAGCUCCGGGAUUUUUCUUGGGGUGACGGUAGGUACGGAAGAAGCACCGGCCAACUACGUGCCAGCCGCCGCCGUAA